AACGAACGUUGGCGGCGUGGAUUAGGCAUGCAAGUCGAACGAAUCCUUUGGGGCUUGCUCCAAAGGGGAAGUGGCGAAAGGGGCAGUAAUGCGUGGGUAACCUACCUCGGGGACGUGGAUAGCCUUCCUAACGGAAGGGUAAUACACGGCGAUCUGUCUGGGAGACAUCUCCCGGCCAGGAAAUGAAUUUCGCCUCGAGAGGGGCUCACGUCGUAUUAGCUUGUUGGUGGGGUAACGGCCUACCAAGGCGAAGAUGCGUAGCGGGUGUGAGAGCACGACCCGCGCCACUGGCACUGAGACACUGGCCAGACUCCUACGGGAGGCUGCAGUCGAGGAUCUUCGGCAAUGGGCGCAAGCCUGACCGAGCGACGCCGCGUGUGCGAUGAAGGCCUUCGGGUUGUAAAGCACUGUCGAGGGGGAGUAAGCCGAAAGGUUGAACUAUCCCUGGAGGAAGCACGGGCUAAGUUCGUGCCAGCAGCCGCUGUAAUAC
Molecule: ribosomal RNA, 490 nt
Filed under: uncultured bacterium
Lineage: Bacteria
Description: bacterial SSU rRNA
Rfam family: Bacterial small subunit ribosomal RNA
Source: RNAcentral